This 675-nucleotide ribosomal RNA is filed under the name Triticum aestivum (bread wheat). Its description in RNAcentral is "partial small subunit ribosomal RNA". The record is from RNAcentral. Lineage: Eukaryota; Viridiplantae; Streptophyta; Magnoliopsida; Poales; Poaceae.
GUGACCGUGGGCGACGGACGCACAACACUGUUUUGGGAGGAUAGGUGGCUCAACGGAUACAUGAUACAUGAGCUAGCCCCUCUCAUCUUUGAGAUGGUGCCAAAGCGGAUGAGGUGCGCUAGAACGGUGACGGAAGCUUUACAAGACGCAUCAUGGGCUCGUGAUGUCGGCCCGGUCAUGAACGACAGAGCGCUAUUCCAGUUUCUCGAGGUUUGGCCACAUGUGGAUAGCACGACUCUGGAUCCACAACGACCGGAUCAACUUGCAUGGUCAUGGGAGAAGGAUGACGAUUUCUCGGCAAGGUCAGCCUAUGCGGCCAUAUUCGCGGUCCUACAAAGUUCAUCGACAACAACCUACACAUGGGCAUCGAAGGCACCCCUCCGCUAUCGAUUCUUCGCAUGGUUGGCCUUGAGGGAUAUAGUGUGGACCUCGGACAGACUGGAACGGCGCGGCCUCCCGUACCAGGACACCUGCCCGUUCUGUGAUCAAGAUGAUAAAAGAAUUAACCACCUCCUGAUACAGUGCGUUUUCACGAAGGAAGUUUGGACCAAGGUGAGUCAGGCGGUGGGCAUGAUGGGUGCGACACCAUCGAGGGUGACGAGCUAUAAACUUGGUGCACAAGACCAAUAUUCAAUGGAAAGCAUGCCAAGACCCUACGGGCUGUACACCUGCUAG